This 71-nucleotide transfer RNA is filed under the name bovine gut metagenome. It matches the Rfam family "tRNA". Rfam says of the family: Transfer RNA (tRNA) molecules are approximately 80 nucleotides in length. Their secondary structure includes four short double-helical elements and three loops (D, anti-codon, and T loops). Further hydrogen bonds mediate the characteristic L-shaped molecular structure. tRNAs have two regions of fundamental functional importance: the anti-codon, which is responsible for specific mRNA codon recognition, and the 3' end, to which the tRNAs corresponding amino acid is attached (by aminoacyl-tRNA synthetases). tRNAs cope with the degeneracy of the genetic code in two manners: having more than one tRNA (with a specific anti-codon) for a particular amino acid; and 'wobble' base-pairing, i.e. permitting non-standard base-pairing at the 3rd anti-codon position. The record is from RNAcentral.
GAAGCAUAGCUCAGCUGGUAGAGCGCUACCCUUACAAGGUAGAUGUCACAGGUUCGAGCCCUGUUGUUUCC